This 626-nucleotide ribosomal RNA is filed under the name Microbacterium lacus. RNAcentral describes it as "bacterial SSU rRNA". It matches the Rfam family "Bacterial small subunit ribosomal RNA", at positions 100 to 740 of the family's 1533-position model. Lineage: Bacteria; Bacillati; Actinomycetota; Actinomycetes; Micrococcales; Microbacteriaceae. The record is from RNAcentral.
GAACGGGUGAGUAACACGUGAGCAAUCUGCCCCUGACUCUGGGAUAAGCGCUGGAAACGGCGUCUAAUACCGGAUACGAGCUGCGAAGGCAUCUUCAGCAGCUGGAAAGAACUUCGGUCAGGGAUGAGCUCGCGGCCUAUCAGCUAGUUGGUGAGGUAAUGGCUCACCAAGGCGUCGACGGGUAGCCGGCCUGAGAGGGUGACCGGCCACACUGGGACUGAGACACGGCCCAGACUCCUACGGGAGGCAGCAGUGGGGAAUAUUGCACAAUGGGCGCAAGCCUGAUGCAGCAACGCCGCGUGAGGGACGACGGCCUUCGGGUUGUAAACCUCUUUUAGCAGGGAAGAAGCGAAAGUGACGGUACCUGCAGAAAAAGCACCGGCUAACUACGUGCCAGCAGCCGCGGUAAUACGUAGGGUGCAAGCGUUAUCCGGAAUUAUUGGGCGUAAAGAGCUCGUAGGCGGUUUGUCGCGUCUGCUGUGAAAACUGGGGGCUCAACCCCCAGCCUGCAGUGGGUACGGGCAGACUAGAGUGCGGUAGGGGAGAUUGGAAUUCCUGGUGUAGCGGUGGAAUGCGCAGAUAUCAGGAGGAACACCGAUGGCGAAGGCAGAUCUCUGGGCCGUAAC